Molecule: transfer RNA, 77 nt
Filed under: Candidatus Scalindua sp.
Lineage: Bacteria; Pseudomonadati; Planctomycetota; Candidatus Brocadiia; Candidatus Brocadiales; Candidatus Scalinduaceae
Description: tRNA-Met
Rfam family: tRNA
About the family: Transfer RNA (tRNA) molecules are approximately 80 nucleotides in length. Their secondary structure includes four short double-helical elements and three loops (D, anti-codon, and T loops).
Source: RNAcentral
CGCGGGGUAGAGCAGCUCGGUAGCUCGUCGGGCUCAUAACCCGGAGGUCGCAGGUUCAAAUCCUGUCCCCGCUACCA